AUUACAAGUUAUAAUUCAUUAAACACUUAUGAUCUUUUAUGCAAUUAAUGUACAGACCAUUUUUUUUUUUUUAAAGGAAUGAAGAUUUUUGCUCUCUCAUAUAUUGGAACUCAUUCCCGUUCCUCGUUCCAUUAUUUUGAAAGUAACGGAUUUCACGGAUUUCAGUGCUUUUCUAUCUACACCUACCUAUUUUAAGUAUAAAAUUAGAAAAUUAAAAACGUGUGCGUAAUAUGUUUGAAAUACAAUGAUUAUAAAUGAAAACUGUGACAAAACAACUUUACCGUAAUGAUGAACUUCGAAGUUUUUCAAUUCCCUCGGAGUACUGGGAAUUCUAAGACCGGAGAGACUGAUGGUAUUUGGUGCUAUUAUUUUAUUAUAAACUUUACACAGUAAUAAUAACACGACGGAAUAUAGUUUACUGAUAGGGGUGAGGCCUUAAAUUUAGAAUCAUAGAUACCGAGUUUGUUUUUGCUCGUCUACUUACAUCUGUGUGUAAAAUAUAUUAAAUAUUUUACGUGCGCGCGCACGUGUGUGUGUGUGUGUGAGUGUGUAUGUGUGUGUAUUUGU
Molecule: non-coding RNA, 567 nt
Organism: Cinara cedri
Lineage: Eukaryota; Metazoa; Arthropoda; Insecta; Hemiptera; Aphididae
Source: the annotation of a GenBank genome assembly